GGAAGAGAAUCGUCCCCGGUGGGGCGCCCGGACUUCAAACCCGGUGAGGGGCGUCAGACGUUCCUGGUGGGUUCGACUCCCACUCACUUCCGCCA
Molecule: transfer RNA, 95 nt
Filed under: Burkholderiales bacterium
Lineage: Bacteria; Pseudomonadati; Pseudomonadota; Betaproteobacteria; Burkholderiales
Description: tRNA-Sec
Rfam family: Selenocysteine transfer RNA
Source: RNAcentral